CGCGGGGUGGAGCAGUCUGGUAGCUCGUCGGGCUCAUAACCCGUAGGUCACGGGUUCAAAUCCCGUCCCCGCCACCA
Molecule: transfer RNA, 77 nt
Filed under: Actinomycetota bacterium
Lineage: Bacteria; Bacillati; Actinomycetota
Also listed under: 1 other name
Description: Actinobacteria bacterium tRNA-Met
Rfam family: tRNA
About the family: Transfer RNA (tRNA) molecules are approximately 80 nucleotides in length.
Source: RNAcentral